GGUUAAGUGAAUAAGGGCGCACGGUGGAUGCCUUGGUACUAGGAGCCGAUGAAGGACGGAACUAACACCGAUAUGCUCUGGAGAGCUGUAAGUAAGCUUUGACCCAGAGAUUUCCGAAUGGGGGAACCCAGCAUUCUUAAUCGAAUGUUACUCUCAAGCCAAUACAUAGCUUGAAGAGAGGUAGACGCAGGGAACUGAAACAUCUCAUUACCUGCAGGAAGAGAAAGAAAAAUCGAUUCCCUGAGUAGCGGCGAGCGAAACGGGAGAAGCCCAAACCAAAAAGCUUGCUUUUUGGGGUUGUAGGACUGGAACGUGAGACUGACAACAUGUAGCAGAAGCCACCUGGGAAGGUGCGUCAAAGAAGGUGAAAACCCUGUAUGCGAAACAUGUCGCAGCUCUACCAGUAUCCUGAGUACGGCGGGACACGAGAAAUCCCGUCGGAAUCCGCCAGGACCAUCUGGCAAGGCUAAAUACUACCUAGUGACCGAUAGUGAACCAGUACCGUGAGGGAAAGGUGAAAAGAACCCCGGGAGGGGAGUGAAAGAGUACCUGAAACCGUGUGCUUACAAGUAGUCAGAGCCCGUUAAUGGGUGAUGGCGUGCCUUUUGUAGAAUGAACCGGCGAGUUACGUUUCCAUGCGAGGUUAAGACGAAGAGUCGGAGCCGUAGCGAAAGCGAGUCUGAAUAGGGCGAGUGAGUAUGGGGACGUAGACCCGAAACCAAGUGACCUACCCAUGUCCAGGUUGAAGGUGCGGUAAAACGCACUGGAGGACCGAACCCACGCACGUUGAAAAGUGCGGGGAUGAGGUGUGGGUAGCGGAGAAAUUCCAAUCGAACUUGGAGAUAGCUGGUUCUCUCCGAAAUAGCUUUAGGGCUAGCCUCGGAAUGAAGAAUCAUGGAGGUAGAGCACUGUUUGGACUAGGGGCCCAUCUCGGGUUACCGAAUUCAGAUAAACUCCGAAUGCCAUUGAUUUAUAUCCGGGAGUCAGACUGCGAGUGAUAAGAUCCGUAGUCGAAAGGGAAACAGCCCAGACCACCAGCUAAGGUCCCCAAAUAUCUGUUAAGUGGAAAAGGAUGUGGAGUUGCACAGACAACUAGGAUGUUGGCUUAGAAGCAGCCACCAUUUAAAGAGUGCGUAAUAGCUCACUAGUCGAGUGACUCUGCGCCGAAAAUGUACCGGGGCUAAACAGAUUACCGAAGCUGUGGAUUGGAACCUGAUGGUUCCAGUGGUAGGAGAGCGUUCUAAGGGCGAAGAAGCAUGACCGUAAGGACAUGUGGAGCGCUUAGAAGUGAGAAUGCCGGUAUGAGUAGCGAAAGACGGGUGAGAAUCCCGUCCACCGAAUAACUAAGGUUUCCUGGGGAAGGCUCGUCCUCCCAGGGUUAGUCGGGACCUAAGCCGAGGCCGAUAGGCGUAGGCGAUGGACAACAGGUUGAUAUUCCUGUACUUCUAUGAAUUGUUUGACCAAUGGAGGGACGCAGGAGGCUAAGAAAAGCACGCGACUGGAAGUGCGUGUCCAAGCAGUGAGUUGGUUGAUGAGUCAAAUGCUUAUC
Molecule: ribosomal RNA, 1549 nt
Filed under: Granulicatella seriolae
Lineage: Bacteria; Bacillati; Bacillota; Bacilli; Lactobacillales; Carnobacteriaceae
Description: partial 23S ribosomal RNA
Rfam family: Bacterial large subunit ribosomal RNA
Source: RNAcentral